This 253-nucleotide ribosomal RNA is filed under the name uncultured bacterium. Its description in RNAcentral is "partial 16S ribosomal RNA". It matches the Rfam family "Bacterial small subunit ribosomal RNA", at positions 524 to 776 of the family's 1533-position model. The record is from RNAcentral.
UACGUAGGGUGCGAGCGUUAAUCGGAAUUACUGGGCGUAAAGCGUGCGCAGGCGGUUUUGUAAGCCAGAUGUGAAAUCCCCGGGCUUAACCUGGGAAUGGCAUUUGGGACUGCAAGGCUUGAGUGUGGCAGAGGAGACUGGAAUUCCUGGUGUAGCAGUGAAAUGCGUAGAUAUCAGGAGGAACACCGAUGGCGAAGGCAGGUCUCUGGGCUAACACUGACGCUCAUGCACGAAAGCGUGGGGAGCGAACAGG